This 98-nucleotide signal recognition particle RNA is filed under the name Planctomycetota bacterium. RNAcentral describes it as "signal recognition particle sRNA small type". It matches the Rfam family "Bacterial small signal recognition particle RNA". Rfam says of the family: The signal recognition particle (SRP) is a universally conserved ribonucleoprotein involved in the co-translational targeting of proteins to membranes. Archaeal SRP consists of a 7S RNA and homologues of the eukaryotic SRP19 and SRP54 proteins. In most bacteria, the SRP consists of a 4.5S RNA and the Ffh protein (a homologue of the eukaryotic SRP54 protein). Lineage: Bacteria; Pseudomonadati; Planctomycetota. The record is from RNAcentral.
GGCUCGGCCCCGAGCGAUGGAUCGGGUUCGAACCGGGUCAGGCCGGGAACGGAGCAGCCCUAAGGACAACGACCCAUGCGCGCGGAAGCCGGGCCCAC